GCCAGUCAUUUGUUUGUGUAAUUUAUCUGACAGCCAAUCUGAUAUUGUUUCUUUUAUUACAGUCAGUAAAAAUAAGUAAAUGGGCCUUUUGUGGCAACAUUUUAAUGAGGAACUUGCUCACCUUUGUCACAAAGUACUUUUGGUUGGGUUUAGCCCAGAAAGAGGCUAGGGGGAUGGGCACUGCUGAAUCUGACUGCAUAAAAUGAUAUGUUGUUUCAUGUCAUGGGAUUUCAAAGCACCUGAUGAGAGCAUGUGCUCUUGAGGAAAAACCCAGCUACUGGUAUAUAACAUCAAAAUAUCAAAUAUUUCUUCAUCGUCUACACUAUGCUUGACCAGACUAUUGAAUUCCUUAAGAUAAUAAGAACAUCUUUUAACACAAGAUAUUAGUAAGGCAGAAGUACUUAAGGCAUUAGUAAGGUGCAAAUUAAAGCUGCCUCCUUUUACCUAUUUUGGAGAUCAAAGCAAUGCUUGCUCAGGAUUAAUUGCAGAAGAGGUAAAAUAUGUCUCAGAUGUGUAAAUAAUUUACACAUCUGAGAUUUAUAAUGAUUAUACAUCUCAGACAUACAGUUUGUGUCUCAGACAUUAUUAUUAUUUACAGGUCAAGAUAAAUACUGACAGAUAAUAUCGAACUUAUUAAGUAAUUUAAAGAUACAUAGGACUAUUUUUUGGUAUUUAGUUUGUGUAUAAUUACUUCUCAGAUCUAUUAUACAAUCAUGUAAUACUGACAGUGUUAUUGGUCUCCAGAGAGAAAUGCAGCCAGGCUUAAGUACUCAGGCAUUAGUAAGGUGCAAAUUAAAGCUGUAUCCUUUAACCUAUUUUUGGAAAUCAAAGCAAUGCCUGCUCAGGAGUAAUCAUAGAAGAGGUCCAAUAUUUCUCAGAUGUGUAAAUAAUUUACACAUCUGAGAUUUAAAAUGAUUAUAGUUCUCAGACAUACAGUAUGUGUCUCAGACAUGUUAUUAUUAUUUACAGAUCAAAAUAAACACUUAUCUGACAGAAAAUAUCAGACUUAUAAGAUACAUUGAA
Long non-coding RNA from Orbicella faveolata, 1023 nucleotides. NCBI's taxonomy places the organism in Eukaryota, Metazoa, Cnidaria, Anthozoa, Scleractinia, Merulinidae. The record is from RefSeq and is a predicted model, not a curated record.